This 673-nucleotide long non-coding RNA is filed under the name Mus spicilegus (steppe mouse). Its description in RNAcentral is "lncRNA (ENSMSIG00000010619.1)". The record is from RNAcentral. Lineage: Eukaryota; Metazoa; Chordata; Mammalia; Rodentia; Muridae.
CUUGUAGGGGAUCUUCGGGACCCGGGGUCCCAAAGAAAAAAUGAUGUCCCAGCCAUGAGGUGAACACUUGCUUCACUGAGGGUGUCUGUGCACUGCCUUACAAUGUGAGAUACCAGCCCCCACCUCUAUUCCCCUGCCUCAGGCACUGCAGCUCAUUCUCUUGAUGGGAUGAGGAUGCAGCCCACCCAGGAGAUGACUACGUAAUAUCCACCAUGUCCUCAUCAUCUACAGUGAGCUCAUGGUGUUCGGAACUAACCACUCUCCUGAAAACCAGCCUGCACAGCAGGCUACGUUCAGCGAAGACACACAUUCCCUAAAGCAGCUCAGACGUCCCCCUGGGUCUUCAAAGGCUGUCUCUUUUCUCUUUGUACUGAUAACAUGUUGCCUUCUGGUCUGCAGCCUGCUCAUCAGCCCCAUGGAGUGAACUCGAUAAACAUGUGCUACGAAGAGAUUCUUCUUCAUGAAGAAGCUUUGAACUCACACAAGUUCUCUAAGCAAGCAGCUGAAAGCGUGACUCCUUGGCAAUAGAGGAGCAUCCUUGGGAAGGAAGCACCGAGUUCUCCAGAAGAAUUAAAGGUGACCCAUCGUUGAUUGCUGAGUUGACCAUUUAAGCUGAAACUACCUAAGGAAGUAUAACUGAUGUAAGGGCCAUUUGGUCCAUCUUCUACAUGUG